AACGAACGCUGGCGGCAGGCUUAACACAUGCAAGUCGAACGCCCCGCAAGGGGAGUGGCAGACGGGUGAGUAACGCGUGGGAACAUACCCUUUUCUACGGAAUAGCUCUGGGAAACUGGAAUUAAUACCGUAUACGCCCUACGGGGGAAAGAUUUAUCGGGGAAGGAUUGGCCCGCGUUGGAUUAGCUAGUUGGUGGGGUAAAGGCCUACCAAGGCGACGAUCCAUAGCUGGUCUGAGAGGAGGAUCAGCCACAUUGGGACUGAGACACGGCCCAAACCCCUCGGGGGGGCGGGAGUGGGGAAUUUGGGACAAGGGGCGCAACCCUGACCCGGCCUGGCCGGGUGAGUGAUGAAGGCCUUGGGGUUGUAAAGCUCUUUCACCGAUGAAGAAAAUGCCGGUAGUGGGAAAAGAACCCCCGGCAAACUUCGU
This 430-nucleotide ribosomal RNA is filed under the name uncultured bacterium. RNAcentral's name for it is "partial 16S ribosomal RNA". It matches the Rfam family "Bacterial small subunit ribosomal RNA", at positions 29 to 506 of the family's 1533-position model. The record is from RNAcentral.